Molecule: long non-coding RNA, 3448 nt
Organism: Eriocheir sinensis (Chinese mitten crab)
Lineage: Eukaryota; Metazoa; Arthropoda; Malacostraca; Decapoda; Varunidae
Exons: 2
Source: RefSeq, a predicted model, not a curated record
AGUACUGCCCAAAAAGCUCCCAGCUUUAAAUGGGCUCCCUGCACUACUAAAUUAUUGUAAAUACAUAAUUGUAUAAAGGGAUAAUAAAAUGUUUCAAAUGUUUCAAAUGUUUCCCUUGCAGAACAAUGCCUCGUCGUUGUCGCAACGCCCUCACAUCGGAGGAGGAUAAUUGAGAAAUACGAGGCGAACGAAGGUCUAAUCUGCAGUUAUGUCAAACUAUUUUGCGUGAAUGACAAACUUUAUUGCUACGUUGGUAUAAGUUCGGGACUCUGUGAUAUUAAUGGUGACCACUUUUUCUAUUCCUUAUAUCUGUCAAACCAUAAUGCAAAAUACUGUAGUAUGUGAUGUCAAAAAUCGCUACUUUCAUUAAUGUUGGUUGUCCGCCAACACGAAUUCCAUGAGUUCAAGAUAUUUCGAAUGAAACACUGAUACGCGUUCCGUUAUCAUAUUCUGAAUCAUACGUACACGUGACGUCAAAAAAACGACGUCAGUGCUACCAUCCCCGUUGACACAAACAUACGUAGUAUGUGGAAACGAACUUUUGGAGCCGAGUGUACGUUUAAUGUAUACGUUUUUCACUGUUGUGGGCAAUAAAAUAUCUGAAUCUGAAUAUGUGUGUGUGUGUGUGUGUGUGUGUGUGUAAUCACUAACUCGCAACAGUGAAUGGGUUGGAAAUACGGAAAGCCGAAUAGGGUCGAAGUAACGAAGUGUGUGUGAGAGAGAGAGAGAGAGAGAGAGAGAGAGAGAGGUCCAGGCGGCGGAUGCUCAAACGGUUGUAUCUCAACAUUUGGUCCUAAAUCCGCCAUUGUGGUUGCAAGUGCUGCCCCGUGCGAUGUUCAAAAAACGUCCUAGACGCCAUCUUGUGACGUCAGGUCGCCCCUCAGCCUGACUGCUCGGGAGCGGGGCUAGAUCCGACCAGUUUCCGUCCUAACCCGUCGCCAUUAAAGGAGUGUUUCCGCCUCAUCCACAUCUCCACCUCUAUACACAAUAUAAGAUGGAGCUUGUUGCGGCAUACAUUUUCAAUCGCAGACUGUGCAGGGAAAGGAGAUAUCGGGACCCACUCGACCCACUACAUGUCAGUGAUGAACACCUGUUGCAGGUGUAUAGAUUUCCCCGUCAGGAAAUCAUCAGGCUCUGUGAUGAGUUGCACCCCCACCUGGAAAGGAGAACCAGGAGGGCACAUGCACUCCCAACACACACCCAGGUUCUGGCUACACUAAGGUUUUUGCGAGUGGCAGCUUUCAAGGUGUUAUUGGAAACGGUGUUGGAAAUGACCAAUCAAGGGCCAUUGAUAAAGUAACUCGGGUACUUUGUGAAAAGGCCAGUCAUGAGAUAAAGAUGUCAACCACAGCAAUAGAUAUUAAUAGAAUUUUUAAGAUAGUUUUCAUGCAUUUCAUAAUGAUAAAUAAUGCAUUAAUGAAUUUUCAACUUCACAGGAGACACUGCGUAUCCUCUGGAGCCAUUCCUGAUGACCCUAGUUGCACGCCCGACAACACCUGGGGAGGAGCGCUACAACAAGUCAUCACAGGACAAGAUGCGUUGUCGAACGGACCUUUGGGAUCCUCAAGUCAAGGUGCAGGUGCCUACAUAAGUCAGGAGGAAGUUUGCAGUAUGACCCCAAGAAGACUAUGACGCUGAGAGUUUUCAACCAUUGACAAGUGACGGAGGGUUACCAACAUGCUGCCCAGCAGAUCUUCAGUCAACCCUAACUUCAGCAUCUUUGAUCAAGAGGGGCACCACCUCCACACCACUCAUUCUUAUCACCUAGUUUGAUUGAUACCCUACUUGUCCAUCUCACAUGCCCCAUGUAUCUCAGCAUUCUGCACUCUUGGCUCCAUGUCAUCCUCUCCAACUUGUUGGUUCGUAUAGCAUAACCGGCCUCACAUACAUAGAAGUGUUCAAUAUACCUAGGCUAUAAUAUUAUAUUUAAGGACUCUUAUACGAGGUAUCGCCCCAUACAGAGGUGUCGAAGUAAGUCUGUCUGAUCACUCUGAUGGUAGGUUGGCUGACUGCUGUUGGGACCCAAGCCAGCAUGCCCUGGGGGUUGUGUGCGGGAGGAGGAAAGAGGGAAAAGGACAAAUGGUGUGUGUGUCAUUAUCAGGGGUAACCACGGUGGAGUGCAAACACUCAGUAGUUGUAGUCAAGGCUUAAUUAAGUUGAUGAGUGGUGUUAGACUGAAUGAGCAGGUUUUUUACCACAUGUUAGUGGGAACACUUGAUAGGUUUUGUUUGUGUGUUGGUGCUACUUGUUUCUUGUGUUUGCAUGUUAGUUUAUAAUUAGACUGAGUUCUAAGUGUUAUGAGCGACAAUUUAGUCUUGUAUGGCUGAAUCCUGUCCCUUGACCCUUAAUUCAUCAUCAGAAUCUUUAAACAAAUAUAUUUACCUUAAGUAAUAUUCUUAAAGUCACGCUACCCAUAUUAUUUGGCAGAUGAUAACCCUGUGUGCGAUAACGGUGCCUUAUAAGACUUGGUAAAUAAACUACUAAUUUUACUCUCUGAUUUAAGUGAUCAACAAUUAAUUCUACUUUGAGGUAUAAUUAACCAACAUUAUUAAGGAGUGCCCAUGCCAGGCACGACAUUAAGAAUAUUUUUCUGUUGACCAGCAGACUUACUAAAGUCAAACCAUUUCUGCAGGUCCUUUCCUCCCUUCUGCUUUGCCACACAGUUCCAAUUACCUAUUUCCUCUGUUUCCUGUCCCGUCUUUCACAAACUGGGCACCUGUAAUGCACCACUACUUGAUUUACAUUUCUCAGCCCUGAGCAUCUCUUUGUGGCACCACUUAUCACUCCCCGUGCACAGAGCAGAGUUAGUAGCCAUUUCUCUUCCACACCAACUACCUUCCUGUAUAUAUGAUUUCUCAGUAAUUACUUAUUUGUUGUGCUGUAUUAGCUGUUAGUUCUACAUCAAGCUGUAAUAUCUACCCAAGCUGCAGGUUAAUCCAAUAAAAAAAAUAAAAAAAGUGAAUGACUAAGUCAUGUGUUAUUAUUCCCAAGCUCCAUUGGCAAUGGCGAGUACACAUUAUAUAACUGAAGCAUAUUACACAUUCAUUGAACACAAUUAAAACUUAACUACCCUAAUCAAAUUAAAUCUAACCUAACCUGAUCUGACCUAAUUAAACUAAAUAUAAGGUAACCUGGCCUUAAUGCCUGCUCCCAAAAUUAAAUAAAUGGAAAUAAAUAUGAUAUUGUUACGCCAAGGCUUAGCUUAGUUUAAAUUGUAAUUGGCGCCACGUGACGUAAUGAGGGUUCCCUGCGGCCCCGUUGAGGGGGCGGGCUGGAGAGGGACGCCAUGCGGCGAGGAAGAGUGGAGACGGAGAGAAGACAAAGGACGCGCUCGCCUGUGCUCUGUGCCUUAGGACUUAAUCGCCUGUGAUUUGUGCCUUGACUGCCUCCCCCUUGGACUUAUAAGGAUUGUACAACGUUCUAUUGCUUAGUAAACCCCAAGAAAGUC